RNAcentral lists this ribosomal RNA (547 nucleotides) under Bifidobacterium animalis subsp. lactis. Its description in RNAcentral is "bacterial SSU rRNA". It matches the Rfam family "Bacterial small subunit ribosomal RNA", at positions 158 to 707 of the family's 1533-position model. Lineage: Bacteria; Bacillati; Actinomycetota; Actinomycetes; Bifidobacteriales; Bifidobacteriaceae. The record is from RNAcentral.
GGGUGGUAAUACCGGAUGCUCCGCUCCAUCGCAUGGUGGGGUGGGAAAUGCUUUUGCGGCAUGGGAUGGGGUCGCGUCCUAUCAGCUUGUUGGCGGGGUGAUGGCCCACCAAGGCGUUGACGGGUAGCCGGCCUGAGAGGGUGACCGGCCACAUUGGGACUGAGAUACGGCCCAGACUCCUACGGGAGGCAGCAGUGGGGAAUAUUGCACAAUGGGCGCAAGCCUGAUGCAGCGACGCCGCGUGCGGGAUGGAGGCCUUCGGGUUGUAAACCGCUUUUGUUCAAGGGCAAGGCACGGUUUCGGCCGUGUUGAGUGGAUUGUUCGAAUAAGCACCGGCUAACUACGUGCCAGCAGCCGCGGUAAUACGUAGGGUGCGAGCGUUAUCCGGAUUUAUUGGGCGUAAAGGGCUCGUAGGCGGUUCGUCGCGUCCGGUGUGAAAGUCCAUCGCCUAACGGUGGAUCUGCGCCGGGUACGGGCGGGCUGGAGUGCGGUAGGGGAGACUGGAAUUCCCGGUGUAACGGUGGAAUGUGUAGAUAUCGGGAAGAAC